GGAUGCGAUCAUACCAGCACUAAUGCACCGGAUCCCAUCAGAACUCCGAAGUUAAGCGUGCUUGGGCGAGAGUAGUACUAGGAUGGGUGACCCCUGGGAAGUCCUCGUGUUGCACCCA
RNAcentral lists this ribosomal RNA (118 nucleotides) under Ipomoea nil (Japanese morning glory). Lineage: Eukaryota; Viridiplantae; Streptophyta; Magnoliopsida; Solanales; Convolvulaceae. The record is from RNAcentral.